CGAGCGAAUCGAUGGGAGCUUGCUCCCUGAGAUUAGCGGCGGACGGGUGAGUAACACGUGGGCAACCUGCCUAUAAGACUGGGAUAACUUCGGGAAACCGGAGCUAAUACCGGAUACGUUCUUUUCUCGCAUGAGAGAAGAUGGAAAGACGGUUUACGCUGUCACUUAUAGAUGGGCCCGCGGCGCAUUAGCUAGUUGGUGAGGUAAUGGCUCACCAAGGCGACGAUGCGUAGCCGACCUGAGAGGGUGAUCGGCCACACUGGGACUGAGACACGGCCCAUACUCCUACGGGAGGCAGCAGUAGGGAAUCUUCCGCAAUGGACGAAAGUCUGACGGAGCAACGCCGCGUGAACGAAGAAGGCCUUCGGGUCGUAAAGUUCUGUUGUUAGGGAAGAACAAGUACCAGAGUAACUGCUGGUACCUUGACGGUACCUAACCAGAAAGCCACGGCUAACUACGUGCCAGCAGCCGCGGUAAUACGUAGGUGGCAAGCGUUGUCCGGAAUUAUUGGGCGUAAAGCGCGCGCAGGUGGUUCCUUAAGUCUGAUGUGAAAGCCCACGGCUCAACCGUGGAGGGUCAUUGGAAACUGGGGAACUUGAGUGCAGAAGAGGAAAGUGGAAUUCCAAGUGUAGCGGUGAAAUGCGUAGAGAUUUGGAGGAACACCAGUGGCGAAGGCGACUUUCUGGUCUGUAACUGACACUGAGGCGCGAAAGCGUGGGGAGCAAACAGGAUUAGAUACCCUGGUAGUCCACGCCGUAAACGAUGAGUGCUAAGUGUUAGAGGGUUUCCGCCCUUUAGUGCUGCAGCUAACGCAUUAAGCACUCCGCCUGGGGAGUACGGCCGCAAGGCUGAAACUCAAAGGAAUUGACGGGGGCCCGCACAAGCGGUGGAGCAUGUGGUUUAAUUCGAAGCAACGCGAAGAACCUUACCAGGUCUUGACAUCCUCUGACAACCCUAGAGAUAGGGCUUUCCCCUUCGGGGGACAGAGUGACAGGUGGUGCAUGGUUGUCGUCAGCUCGUGUCGUGAGAUGUUGGGUUAAGUCCCGCAACGAGCGCAACCCUUGAUCUUAGUUGCCAGCAUUCAGUUGGGCACUCUAAGGUGACUGCCGGUGACAAACCGGAGGAAGGUGGGGAUGACGUCAAAUCAUCAUGCCCCUUAUGACCUGGGCUACACACGUUCU
This 1181-nucleotide ribosomal RNA is filed under the name Lysinibacillus macroides. RNAcentral describes it as "bacterial SSU rRNA". It matches the Rfam family "Bacterial small subunit ribosomal RNA", at positions 63 to 1226 of the family's 1533-position model. The record is from RNAcentral. Lineage: Bacteria; Bacillati; Bacillota; Bacilli; Caryophanales; Bacillaceae.